Molecule: long non-coding RNA, 2613 nt
Filed under: Olea europaea subsp. europaea
Lineage: Eukaryota; Viridiplantae; Streptophyta; Magnoliopsida; Lamiales; Oleaceae
Source: RNAcentral
CUUUAUUUCAACAUUUCCCUCACUUAAUGUCACUUUUGUUGACCACUUCAAUCCUUCCCAUACUUGCCAUUUUCAUGCUACUUACGUUUUUGCUACGCCGAUGGAGGAUCGACACCAUAUGAACUUGUCAGUACUGAUUGGCUUUGUCAACAUAUCUGCUAGGUUGUCUGCUAUAUGGAUUUUCUGUAUAUCUACACUUCCUUCUUCCACAUUUUCUCGAACAAAGUAAUAUUGAACUCGAAUAUGCUUUGUCCUAUGAUGAAAUGCUGGAUUCUUUGCCAAAUGCAAAGCGCUCUGACUAACACAAAAUAGAGCAAUCUUCUCUAGUUUGUGUCUGAGCUCGUCCAUUAAUAUUUGCAACCAGAUUGCCUCUUUGCUAAUUUGUGUAGCUGCCACGUAUUCUGCCUCUAUCGUUGAAGUAGUCACGAUAGACUGCAAUUUCAAAACCCAGCUUACAGCUCCUCCAGCAAGAGUAAACACAUAUAUUGUGGUAGACUUGCUUUUGUCAAGAUCACCUGCAUAAUCUGAAUCAACAUAGCCUCUGACAAUAAAAUCUGAUCCUCCAAAACAUAAUGUAGCACUUGAGGUACCUUUAGCAUAUCUCAGAAUCCUCUUUACAGUACUUCAAUGUUCUUUACCAGGAUUUGUCAUGUAUGGACUAACCGCUCCCACUGCUUGUGCAAUGUCUGGUCUUGUACAGAUCAUAGCAAACAUCAAACUACCAACUGCUGAUGCAUACGGUACUCGAGACAUCUCCAUCCUUCCUACUUCGCUACUAGGGCUUAUAUUUGAAGAUAACUUAAAAUUAAUAGGAAGAGGGGUAGAAAUUGGCUUACAAUCUUGCAUAUUGAAGCGAUGCAAGAUUUUCUUCAAGUAGUUCUUCUGACUAAGCCAAAUCUUCUUAUUGUUUUUGUCUUGAUAAAUUUGCAUCCUUAGAAUCUUGUUUGCCGUCCCAAGUCCUUUAUUUCAAACUCCCUAGCCAAUUGAGCCUCCAAAUUUUCAAUACGAUCUUUGUUGGGGCCUGCUACCAACAUGCCAUCAACAUACAAUAGCAGAAUAAUGAAAUUAUUAUCACCAAAUCUCAUGUAGUAUGCACAUGGAUUUGAACUGAGUCUGUUGUAUCCAAGGCUCAUGAUGAAGGAAUCAAAUCUCUUAUACCAACAUCUCGGCGCCUGUUUGAGAUCAUAUAGAGAUUUGUUCAACCUACAAACUAAGUUCCAUUUUCUUUUUUCGUUAAAACCUCCUAGUUGGAGCAUAACAAUUUCUUCUUCAAGUUCUUCAUAAAGAAAUGCAGUUUUCACAUCUAACUGCUCUAAAUGUACAUCUCUGCUGAUUAUCACCUUGUGGGCAGUGGGAACCGACAGGUGCUACCCCUUCACUCCAACAGCAUACCCUAAGAAGAUACAUUUUCUGGAUUUUGGAUCCAGUUUUGAUAUUUCUUGGGUGUUGUACAUAACGUACACAAGACUUCCUCCAUUGUCAGUCCUCAAACACUUGAUCUUUUUUUUUUUUUUUUUUUUUGAAAUUCAAGCUUCACACGCGCUUUGAGUAUUUUGAAGACUGCGAACAUGUUUGCAUUUUUUUGAUUGGAUACACCCAACAUCUCCCGGAGUAAGCAUCAAUAAAAGAUACAAAGUAUUUUGCACCUCAUAGGGAUAUAACCGAUACUCUCCAAACAUCGAAAUGGACCAGCUCCAAGAUAGCUUUACUUCUAGUAGCGAAAUUGCUGAACUUUAAUCUACGUUGCUUACUAGUAACACAAUGCUCACAAAAGGGUAAUGAAACAUUUUUUGAGCCUGGAAGAAGCUUUUGUUCUGAGAGAAUUUUCAAACCAUGUUUCGACGUGCAACCAAGCUUACGAUGCCACAUCAUCGUUAAUUCUUUUGCUGAACCUGUCGAUGUGACAGACGCUUCUCUUUUUUCUUGUAGUAUUUUUCCUUUAAGCAUGCACAAAUUUGUAACUAUCAUUUCAGCUUUCAUCACUACAAGCGCGUCUUUGACAAUCUUUUUCUCCGCCACACUUGACAAUACUCCAUCAGCUAGUGUAAGGUGCAGAUUAGUAACUGCAUUGCUAUCCAUCUCGUUCCACUUAGCAUCAUCAAUGAUCUCUGUGGGCCUCUGUCCAAUUGCCACCAAGCAGUUAUCUUUUCUCAUAACUGCUUUUAUUCUCACUUUUCAUAAUGAGAAAUUGUCCCAUUUGAACUUUUCAAUCUCAUACGUUGUCGCCAAUUUUUUUCACCAAUAUUAUGACUGAACAAUGACCCUACACAGAACCUUGCUUUGAUACCAUUGUUGGGGAGAAAAUGCUUGGGUCGACUUUGGCUGACAACGGAAAUGGAAUUGAGAAAUCGCAGCUCAAAUGGACACAAAUAUUUACGUGGUUCACCCAAUUUAGCCUACGUCCACGGACAAGUAUGGAAGGAUUCGCUAUAGUAGGAGAAUUACAACACUCACUUUAAAUACAAGAAGAUAACAACAAAUAAUCUCUCUUGUAAUUAGGAGAAAACAAAUAUGAAAUACCUAGGAGAAAAUAAUAAUUUUUCUCUCUAUAUUUUAUCUCUCUACUUCACCAUUUUUUCUCUCUACUAAAGGAAAGUUUUCCCUCAAUUUUCC